UUUCUUGAUUUUCAGCCCCCUCUUCCUCUUUUCCACUUGCCAGAGUCCAUUUUUGCUAGAGAAAUCUCAAAAAUCCAGCCAGCAUCUUCCUCUUUCCCUUCGUCUUCUUCUCCUUCUCCUUCUCCUCCUGAUUUUCAACAGCAUGCUUUUUUGUAUCCUGAUGGUUGCUCUACAUCGUCUGCCUUUCCAUUUUCAACCGGGUUCUCGAUGCAUGACCCCACUGGUUUUCAGCAACCUAGUUCAAUCGGGCUUAGUCACCUUACUCCUUCCCAGAUUCAUCAGAUCCAGACUCAGGUUCACCUACAGAACCAAAAUAGUUUCCCUUUUCAGAAUUACCAGAAUCAGAAUCAACAUACCCUCAAUUUUUUAGGUCCCAAAUCCAUCCCCAUGAAGCAAGUAGGCUCACGAAAACCCACCAAACUCUACAGAGGAGUAAGGCAGCGACAUUGGGGUAAAUGGGUGGCCGAGAUUAGACUUCCCAAGAACCGUACCCGACUCUGGCUCGGUACUUUCGACACAGCCGAGGAGGCGGCCUUAGCUUAUGACAAGGCAGCUUACAAGCUCCGAGGUGACUUCGCAAGGCUUAACUUCCCCACCUUACGCCACCAAGGGUCCCACAUCGAAGGCAAGUUUGGCGAAUACAAGCCUCUCCAUUCCUCAGUUGAUGCGAAGCUGCAAGCUAUCUGUCAAAGCUUAGCGGAAUCGCAGAAACAAGGAGGAAAAGCUGAGAAGCAAUCUCCGAACAAGAAGAAAGCCCAGGUGGGGACCACUCCGGUGAUAGCAGCGGCUAAGGAAGACGAGUCACGGCAGGAAGUUACUCCGGUUAAGUGUAGCAAGGUUGAGACACCUUCCUCCGUGUUGACACAGAGCGAAGGGUCAGGCGGAUCUUCUCCUUUGUCAGAUCUCACGUUUCUGGAUUUGGAAGAGGCACCGUUGGAUGUUGAUUCUGGAAAUUUCAAUUUGCAGAAGUGCCCAUCUUAUGAAAUUGAUUGGGCUUCUCUUCUAUCCUAGAUUAGUGAUGUUAUCUGUUAUCUUUGUUUUUGUUUUCUCUGACGUCUUAGGUUUAGGUAUUUGGUGGCUGCAAUGAAGUUUUUGGCAGUUGCAGUGCCAGGGCAUAAGUGUUCAAUGUCUGUAGUAUUAUUAGGGUAAAUAAGGUUGAUGUUCAUGUGAAUCUAUCUGCCUCCAUGGUUAGCUGUUCUUUUUAUCUCUGGCUUAGCCAUGGAGAAUUUGUACUUGUUGGUGUUCAUAUUAGUAUUGUAAUAGUAUUCUAUUGCUAGAAACUUCUUUAUUAUAUUUUCAAUGUAUAAUUCGACUUUUCCUUCUGCUGGUAUGUUUAAAAAAAAGGUAUGUGUAAUUGCUUCUUGGAUAUUGUUAUGAUAAUUUAUGAAGAUCUGAAAAUUGCUCAACACUUGAAUAGGAAAAUAA
Molecule: unclassified non-coding RNA, 1425 nt
Filed under: Hevea brasiliensis (rubber tree)
Lineage: Eukaryota; Viridiplantae; Streptophyta; Magnoliopsida; Malpighiales; Euphorbiaceae
Source: RNAcentral